RNAcentral lists this ribosomal RNA (745 nucleotides) under uncultured bacterium. RNAcentral's name for it is "bacterial SSU rRNA". It matches the Rfam family "Bacterial small subunit ribosomal RNA", at positions 9 to 779 of the family's 1533-position model. The record is from RNAcentral.
UAGUUUGAUCCUGGCUCAGCCUGAACGCUGGCGGCGUGGCUAAGACAUGCAAGUCGCACGGGCGUAGCAAUACGUCAGUGGCGGACGGGUGAGUAAAGUAUCGCUAACGUACCCCGGAGCCUGGGAUAGCCGGCCGAAAGGCCGGGUAAUACCAGAUGAUAUACCCGAUGGGCAUCCAUCGGACCUCAAAGCAGCAAUGCACUCUGGGAGCGGGCGAUAUCGUAUCAGGUAGUUGGUGGGGUAACGGCCCACCAAGCCGACGACGCGUAGCUGGUCUGAGAGGACGACCAGCCACAUCGGGACUGAGACACUGCCCGGACUCCUACGGGGGGCUGCAGUAACGAAUCUUCCACAAUGCACGAAAGUGUGAUGGAGCGACGCCGCGUGUAGGAUGAAGUCCUUCGGGAUGUAAACUACUGUCAGGGGAAAGAAAGUUCUGAUCUACCCCAGAGGAAGGGGCGGCUAACUCUGUGCCAGCAGCCGCGGUAAUACAGAGGCCCCGAGCGUUAGGCGGAAUCACUGGGCUUAAAGCGUGUGUAGGCGGAGUUCUAAGUACCUUGUGAAAUCCCACGGCUCAACCGUGGAACUGCUGGGUAUACUGGUUCUCUUGAGGUACCUAGGGGCGAGCGGAACAAGUGGUGGAGCGGUGAAAUGCGUAGAUAUCACUUGGGACGCCAACGGUGAAAACAGCUCGCUGGGGGUAUCCUGACGCUGAGACACGAAAGCCAGGGGAGCGAACGGGAUU